This is a non-coding RNA of Delphinapterus leucas (beluga whale), 492 nucleotides long. The record is from RefSeq and is a predicted model, not a curated record. Lineage: Eukaryota; Metazoa; Chordata; Mammalia; Artiodactyla; Monodontidae.
CGCUCCGGUGAUUAAACUUAGCCCCCGCCUCUAGUAGGUGCUGAGAGGGCGAGAUUAAGCGGGCACUUACUGUAUGGGCUACGUAUUGACCGCAUCACCUUGUAUCCCUCGGGCUUCGCCACCAGCGAGGAGAAGUUACAUCUUCUGGGAUCAGGGAGAAGAGAAUCUCACCCCUGACUCCUAACAGGGGCCUUCAACCCAGGGAGUCAAAUCAGGAACCCAGUUCACAAGAAGGACGCUCGCAUCUCCCUGCUAAGUACGCGUUUCUGUGCCUCAGAGACCCCCUACCUACCACCAGGCACCCUGGCCCUCUGCGCUCCCACUCAGGACCGUGCCGUCCCUCACACCCUGUGGCUGAAGACCUGGCUUCUCCAUCCCCCACCCCAUCUCACCGAAACUAGGCCAUCUCCAGGGCAGCCCCUAGACACCCCUCGCCCAAGAGGGGUCUCUACAAUCAUCAUUCCCGGACUCUCCUUGCCUUCUGUGAAGAUU